GCAACAUUGCUUAUUGUUAUUAGCAUUAAAGUAGUAGUGGUGGAUAUAUUUAGGGUAAAGCACAACCCUUCCAAAAUGCAUCAUCCGAUUUACUUUAUUCUGGUAAAGGAAACAUUUUAGCUUGUAGCUGUGGCUUUCAGGACAGAGGAGCAGACGUGUUACGAGUUUUUGCAACCAUCUUUAAGAAUGGAAAAGUUCAAGGAAGAUAUAUUUUGUACAUUUACUGUUAAACUGUAAUCUUGUUUUAAUGUAUUGUCACAAAAAAAGAAUGUUAUUUAACCAUUGUAAUAUUAUACAGUAAAAUAAAAUGGCUACAUGUG
Molecule: long non-coding RNA, 320 nt
Organism: Trichomycterus rosablanca
Lineage: Eukaryota; Metazoa; Chordata; Actinopteri; Siluriformes; Trichomycteridae
Exons: 2
Source: RefSeq, a predicted model, not a curated record